AGGACAAGCCCAGGAAAUCCGACCGGCGCCAAGAACAGCCAAGUCCUGGCGCCUCCCAGCCUGGACUCAGGGGAGUCCAGCUGCAGGGCUUCAGAGCGAGAUGAAUCACGCUGAACGCUGUGGUUAUGGUCAGACCUCCAAUGGGGGGGGGGGUUUCUACUGCUUUGCAGAUGUGAGAAUGAAGGCACAGGGGGAGGAGGGCACCGCACACAAACGUUGCAAGAUAGGGGCAGGAUCAGGAAUGCCGCCCAGAAUUCCCAGAUCCCAGCCCCUGCCGGUAUUAGGCUCUGGAGUUGUUUCCUUCCCUUCCCUUUGGUCCUCCCCAAGCUCUCCGCCUGCUGGUUGCAGCUCUCAUCCAUGAUUCCCUUCUCUCGCACAUUCCUGGUAUGAAGCAGGCGUGUUUGUCAAGUGUGGCUUUGGGGCCAGAUCCAGCAUUCCAGACCGGGGUGAGCUGAGGUAAACGAGGAACAGCCCCCUGCCCACCCACCCCUCCUGGCCUCCUAGCUUCAAGUGCUGUAGCUUUGCUCUGUCUUCUUCAGGCAAGGCUCGGAGAUGGAAGAGUGGUGCAAACUCUGGCAGGCAAUUAGGGAGCCACAGACUUCACAACGUCAAUAUGUUGCUGCAGGCAAUGUGUACGUGACUGCACUCUACUUAGCCCCCUCCAACUCUUUUUUCCUCCCCCCCCCCCCACACUCUGGAAGUCACUUUCAGAACUCUUUAGCAGGGAGUCAAGACACCUUCCCAUCACUUUUUAGAUAACUUUGGCAAAUCAGGGGGCUACCAAAGCAACACUGAUUAUUAGUCAAGGUUGGAGUAUUUGCACUGAGCUUCUGGAAGAUGUGGGAGUUCAAUACAGCAGAUAGCACGAAGGUCUUAAGCUUUUGAUACCCUUAAAACAAGGACACAAUGACAGAUUUCCACGAGGAUCCAAGAAACAGUUCACUUCGCAAAUGGGCAACUUUGACCUCUCAUCACAACGAGCAUAAAGGAACCGUAAGUUAUAUGUGCGGACUGCCUUCCUGAAAAGGUAAAUGAUAAGAAGAAUGGUAUUGCCUCCAUUGGAUACAAAGAGCCCAGCUAAUUUUCCCAUACUGGGUCUGCACCAGAGGGAGAGACCCUUGGGAUAAGGAUUUCUUCUCUUCUGCUUGCUAGAGGUGGAAGCCUUCACAAGUUAAAUACAAUGAAAACAUACAAUUGUAAGAUCAGAUCAGGGCAGAGGGGUUUUUGCUUCCUCCGAGUUUCAAGGGCCUUCCUCCUCUCAGGGCUGCAGGCCCUUCACACCACCCAUCCUGCCCCAAAGCGGUCCCUGAUCAAUUGCCUUCAGUCCCCGGAAGGGGAGAAGUAAGGAGGUUUCCUCAUCCAGGAUGAUCAGAAGUUCCACCCUCCCGAUGGAUCUGAAGCCCUGAAUGUAACAAAUGCCCCCAAACACUGCCACCAUCAGAGAGGACAGUAUGAAAGGAAGGGGGGAAAAAACAGCCCUGCUAUCAUUGGUCAAGACACCUUUGAUGUCAUAAUCAAAGUCAGCAGGUAAAUUUGGUUAGAACAUUCUCAGCUUGGGCUCUUUUUACAGACAAUUCCUGUCUCUGUGCAAUGAACGUCGAGCCUUUGCUCAUGUUUCAGAAGACCAGGAGAUCCAUCCCCAAAUCACCCCAAUUUUCAGGACCCCAACAGCAAUGUUGUUGCAGAAUUUUCGCUUUCUGCCUAGCGCAUUCAUUCUUCUUGGGAUUUUUUUUUUUUAACAAGGUCCUCCGAUUGUGGGAAGCAGAGGAGGAGGAGGUGCAAAGGGAAGAAGCUGGAGCUUUCCCAAGUUAUUUCUCCGCUCCGGGGCAUGUGCAGGACAAGUCCAGAUGUACAUAUGUUUGGCUGUGCGUGAAGAGGCUGUCCUCCCCAACCUUCCCUUGCAAAGCGCUGCUGAAGUCACGGAGUCUGCCCUACCCACAGGGACACUCGGGGUGGAGUACUUCUAUUGCAAAACUGCUCAGCUAUUCAGCAGGCCUGGCUCACAGCUCAAGAGAGGCCUUAGGCUGGGAUCAGAAGGGGCUUUUAAGGAAGAAAAGCAGAAUCAGAAUGGAUACGAAACUCAGAGGUUGGCCAGGGCAUGUGUCCUGCUCCACGUUAAAAAAUAAAAGCAGAACGGUUUUUGCCUUCUUUUUAAUAUA
Molecule: long non-coding RNA, 2159 nt
Organism: Thamnophis elegans (Western terrestrial garter snake)
Lineage: Eukaryota; Metazoa; Chordata; Lepidosauria; Squamata; Natricidae
Exons: 3
Source: RefSeq, a predicted model, not a curated record